UACAGAGGGGGCAAGCGUUAUUCGGAAUUAUUGGGCGUAAAGGGCGCGUAGGCGGCCAUGCGUGUCUUCCGUGAAAUCCCUCGGCUUAACUGAGGACGUGCGGAAGAAACUGCAAGGCUUGAGUCCGGGAGAGGGGGGUGGAAUUCCCAGUGUAGCGGUGAAAUGCGUAGAUAUUGGGAGGAACACCGGUGGCGAAGGCGGCCCCCUGGACCGGUACUGACGCUGAGGCGCGAAAGCGUGGGUAGCAAACGGG
This 253-nucleotide ribosomal RNA is filed under the name uncultured bacterium. Its description in RNAcentral is "partial 16S ribosomal RNA". It matches the Rfam family "Bacterial small subunit ribosomal RNA", at positions 524 to 776 of the family's 1533-position model. The record is from RNAcentral.